GGAGAACCUUCCACGCCACCUGAGAAGUACGACCCCCCUGCUGUCGCGGUGGACUGUCUGUCCACGCCUGGCGGGUCCGGCUGCUUGAUGAUGCAGUGAAGUUCUUCUGUUUCCUUGCUGGCCUUCGCUCGGCUUGCUUGAGCGCCGUGGACGGUGGGGCGACGCCGUCCGCGGCUACUGUGGGACAACUGUCUGUCUCUCCUUCUUUCCACGGGUUUCUUCGCUGUGUGUGGGAGCUCUGCGGCUGCGUCCUCCUGACGGGUCGGGUAUCGAGCGUCCCUCUGUGUCGUUAAUCGCACCCUCGUGUUACGGUCAGUUCUGUCUGACGUUCGCACGAGCCUCUCACCUCUGCCGGCCUGUACCAGACGCUGUGUUGUACUGCGUUCGUCCAUUUGUGCCUUUGACCCCUAAGGGCUCUCCGUCUCCAGCUGGAAGGCGGAUGGUGGGGUUUCUGUUUGUUUCACUCGACAAUCUCUGCCCUUUGACUGGAUCGUCUGGUCGAGCCACAUUAGUGUUCUUAUCGAUGCGGUCGGCUCUACGUCUACGGUGCCGUUUCCUGCUUUUCUCGUGCCCCCCUUCUUCUCUUCCCUUCUGUCCCUUUUUCAAAAUGCCGGCCGACUCUUCCCUAAUGCGGCAUCUCAGUCACAAUCCGCUUCACGAGAUGCUCGCUUGCUUCUGGCGCUGGUGUGAACCUCAGUCCCAGGCCACACGGCUCUGCCCUACCUGCUCCCUCUGGUUGUUAUCGCACAUGUAUUACACGUCUAUCGCAUUUGAAUCAAUCAUAGGCCCAAUGUCAUGUCACAGACACACUGGUUUAUACAACUGCUUUCUGAAUUGGUUACAGAAGGAGGGAGAAAUGUUGUACAUUUGUCUUUACCGGCGAUCUGGCUUUUCGGGCGGACUCAGCCUCUGUCUGGGGCGCUUGACUUCAGCCUGAAGCGCGUCCUGCUCUAUUUUGCGAGCUGGGCGUUUUGCACACGCGGCCCACGGCCUCCGGGCCUGCGCAGGCCCUGCCGAGAAGUCACCGUCAGUCCCUCGUAAGGGGCGCGUUUUUCCCUCGCAACUUUCAGGAUUUUCUCCUUGUCUUUGGCUUUCGGCGUUCUCCUUUUCGGCCACGUGUGGGUUUGAGUCCGCACUUAUCCCCAUCCAGCUUCCCGGGCACCUACGUCACUAUGCGGUGGUAGGUUGGUGACAUCGGCCCACACUUCUCUCUUUCCUUCUGCCCUCUGUCUCCCGCUGCGCACUUGGUGCCGUGAACCCCUUCCUCUACGCCCCCUGCGUUUUCUUCCCUGCGUUCCGCCUCCUCGGCUGCAAUCUCCACUGGUCUGUCUUCAAGCCAAGGAAUUCUUUCUUCUGCCCGUCCCGGUCUUCUGUCAUCCACUCUCGUGUACCUUUCCCUUUAGUGCCGGUGCCUUUCAACUCCAGCACCUCCAUUUGGCUCUUUGCUAUGGGUUCUCCCUCUUCCUCCACAGUCUCCUUCACGUGACGUCCCUUCGCCUCUCGAGUGCAGCUGCCUUGAGUUCCGCGGUACUUGGGGUUCUGCGGUGGGUACUCUGCAGUACUUUUCCGUGAAGUCUGGCACCUGCCGGCUCCCCCAGGCGGCCUCUCUGCCCGCCUGCUUUCCGACGCGUGUGGGUGCCUUCCUGCAUCUCGAGCGCCUCAUAAUUGUUUACUGGAAACUGGACAUUUUAGAUAAUGUAUCGUAGCAACAUGGGGUUCUGCCCCCCCAUCGGGGGCCCGUUCCUGUCCUUCGCUUGCUUAUCUGUCCAGUGACUGGAUCGUCUAGUGACGUCUCCUGCCCUCCCGGGGUGUCCAGCUCCUGACGCUGCUCCCAGGGGCCAGAGUGGGGGUGUGUGCGCCCUGCUUCUCCUGCAGGGAAAGCCCUCCGGCGGGGGGCGGGCGCAGGGGCCCCGUGUGCCGGGCUGCAGCCUCCGGAGCGCGUCUCUGUCCUCACGAAGCCGAGGGCGGGGGCGGUCCUGGUUCAGAGCCCGAUGCCUCGCGCCUUUCCUAAUGAAUUUUCCCAGAUUUUCUCGGGGAGACGUUUCAUGUGCUGCUUGCCUUCAGGACCGCGUCCACAGGCUUCAAGUGGUGGUUCUGUGUGAAAGCGUGUCCUCUGGUUCCACCUGGAGAGGCUCGGCGGCUGCCUGCAGCUCUCCUGGUGGCAUCCCUGCAUCGGCCCGGUCUGUGUCCCCGCUGCCCCCCGGGGGCGCGGCCGUGAGGGUCUUCGCCUCCAUGAGGCUGUGAGACGGUGCCGCUCGCGUCACUGAUGCCUCCCACUGGUCACUCAACACGUUGGACCCUUUAUUCCGGGGCGGUACGGUCACGGGUUGAACCACGUCCCCCGAGAAGAUGGGUCAGAGCCCUAGCUCCUGGUCUGUGCCCACGGGGUCUUAUUCAGAAAGAGGGUCUUUGCAGACGCGAUUGGCUCCGAGGAGGCCAGCAGGUGUGCCCUAACCCAGUGCGUCCGGGGUCCUUGUCAGAAGGGGUCACGUGGUGGCGUCACCAUGCGGUGACGGAGGGCAGGGAACGGAGUGCCAGGUGCCGCCAGCACGUGGGGCUGGGCAGAGAUGGGGAGGGCCCCCACGGGUUGGCGAGGGCCACAGCCCAGUGGUGCUCCGACUCGGAACUUCCGGAGGGUUGGCAGCUGUGUCAGCAGAGGUGACCGUCCGGCAUCCCCAGGGGUGGACACGGACACCGCGCGGUUUCGUCUCCUUCCGGGAUGUCCCCCACGUCCUGUCCUGCGGCCCCCUUCCCCUGGAUGCCACCCAGCUCUCCCUAGAGGACGUGUCGCGGGAGCGUGGCCGCCAGCCACGGCCACCAGCACUCCCCUGUCACGCAGCCUCUGCCUCGGGGCCUGGCCCACGGUCUCUGAGGGGUCAUGGGACCCCCCCCCCCAACUCCCCGCAGGCUUCCUGCACCUGCCGGAAGGAGGCGUCUCUUCCUCUGGGGUUUGUGGGGCCAGCCCGUGGCUCCUCCUGGAGAAACUCCGCCACCCGAGGCCGACGUGGAGGGAAGCAGAUCUGGAGGCGGGUUUGCGAGCGGUUCAAGCGUCUGGAUCCGGCCGGGCCCGCAGGCCUGUGAGCGUGUCGCCGGGCUGAGGACACGACUCCCCUCCUGCUCAGGCCGGUCUGACUGGUGCUGCCACGGCUACGGGAGCCACGCGGCGUACAAGACACAGCAAGUGUACGUGGCCAGACACGAUCUUCUCCUCCUGCGUGCGGACGGGGACGGCCCAGCUUCGGAGGCAGAUGAGAACCAAGCGAUGCCCCGAAGAGGCAGGAAGAAGGAGGCGCUGGGCCGUGUGGUCUGCCGGAGCCCACGGAGGACGCUGCCUCGCUCUGCACCUGGAAUACUCUUGGGAAACACAAACUGGGCCGCGCCGGCGGUCCACGGCGUGUGCCCGUCGGGCGGCGCAGGUUGUUGAAAUACCGCGGGGGCUCCUGUGCCGGCCCAGACGAGCGGCCCCCGGGCCCCCCGCGCCCGUGCUCCCCGCCCGGCCAGCCCUGGGCGGCCACAGGCUCCCGGAGACGUCACGCUCCCAUUAACUGACCUUAG
Long non-coding RNA from Herpailurus yagouaroundi (jaguarundi), 3555 nucleotides. RefSeq lists it as uncharacterized. The transcript is spliced from 3 exons. The record is from RefSeq and is a predicted model, not a curated record. Lineage: Eukaryota; Metazoa; Chordata; Mammalia; Carnivora; Felidae.